RNAcentral lists this ribosomal RNA (339 nucleotides) under uncultured Spirochaetota bacterium. RNAcentral describes it as "bacterial SSU rRNA". It matches the Rfam family "Bacterial small subunit ribosomal RNA", at positions 29 to 351 of the family's 1533-position model. Lineage: Bacteria; Pseudomonadati; Spirochaetota. The record is from RNAcentral.
AACGAACGCUGGCGGCGCGUUUUAAACAUGCAAGUCGAACGUGAAUCCCGAUGCUUGCAUUGGGAGGAAAGUGGCGAACGGGUGAGUAACACGUGGAUAAUCUACCUCUAGGAUUGGGAUAACUACUCGAAAGGGUAGCUAAUACCGGAUGAGAUGGUAGCUGCAUAAGCAGCAGCCAUUAAAGAUGGGGACCGUAAGGCCUAUCGCCAAGAGAUGAGUCUGCGUCCCAUUAGCCUGUUGGCGGGGUAACGCCCACCAAAGCUACUAUGGGUAGCCGGCCUGAGAGGGUGUCCGGCCACAUUGGGACUGAGAUACGGCCCAGACUCCUACGGGUGGCUG